AUUGAACGCUGGCGGCAGGCCUAACACAUGCAAGUCGGACAGUAGCACAGAGGAGCUUGCUCCUCGGGUGACGAGUGGCGGACGGGUGAGUAAUGUCUGGGGAUCUGCCCGAUAGAGGGGGAUAACCACUGGAAACGGUGGCAAAUACCGCAUAACGUCGCAAGACCAAAGAGGGGGACCUUCGGGCCUCCCACUAUCGGAUGAACCCAGAUGGGAUUAGCUAGUAGGCGGGGUAAUGGCCCACCUAGGCGACGAUCCCUAGCUGGUCUGAGAGGAUGACCAGCCACACUGGAACUGAGACACGGUCCAGACUCCUACGGGAGGCAGCAGUGGGGAAUAUUGCACAAUGGGCGCAAGCCUGAUGCAGCCAUGCCGCGUGUAUGAAGAAGGCCUUCGGGUUGUAAAGUACUUUCAGCGGGGAGGAAGGCGAUGUGGUUAAUAACCUUGUCGAUUGACGUUACCCGCAGAAGAAGCACCGGCUAACUCCGUGCCAGCAGCCGCCGUAA
This 506-nucleotide ribosomal RNA is filed under the name uncultured bacterium. RNAcentral's name for it is "partial 16S ribosomal RNA". It matches the Rfam family "Bacterial small subunit ribosomal RNA", at positions 29 to 523 of the family's 1533-position model. The record is from RNAcentral.